RNAcentral lists this ribosomal RNA (400 nucleotides) under uncultured bacterium. Its description in RNAcentral is "bacterial SSU rRNA". It matches the Rfam family "Bacterial small subunit ribosomal RNA", at positions 30 to 435 of the family's 1533-position model. The record is from RNAcentral.
AUUGAACGCUGGCGGCAUGCUUUACACAUGCAAGUCGAACGGCAGCACGGGUGCUUGCACCUGGUGGCGAGUGGCGAACGGGUGAGUAAUGCAUCGGAACGUGCCCAUGAGUGGGGGAUAGCCCGGCGAAAGCCGGAUUAAUACCGCAUACGCCCUUAGGGGGAAAGCGGGGGAUCUUCGGACCUCGCGCUAUUGGAGCGGCCGAUGUCGGAUUAGCUAGUAGGUGAGGUAAAGGCUCACCUAGGCGACGAUCCGUAGCUGGUCUGAGAGGAUGAUCAGCCACACUGGGACUGAGACACGGCCCAGACUCUACGGAGGCAGCAUGGGGAAUUUUGGACAAUGGGCGCAAGCCUGAUCCAGCCAUGCCGCGUGAGUGAGAAGGCCUCGGUUGUAAGUACGU